GUAACACGUGGGUGAUCUGCCCUGCACUUCGGGAUAAGCUUGGGAAACUGGGUCUAAUACCGGAUAUGACUACAGGCUUCAUGGUUUGUGGUGGAAAGCUUUUGCGGUGUGGGAUGGGCCCGCGGCCUAUCAGCUUGUUGGUGGGGUAAUGGCCUACCAAGGCGACGACGGGUAGCCGGCCUGAGAGGGCGACCGGCCACACUGGGACUGAGACACGGCCCAGACUCC
This 228-nucleotide ribosomal RNA is filed under the name uncultured bacterium. RNAcentral describes it as "partial 16S ribosomal RNA". It matches the Rfam family "Bacterial small subunit ribosomal RNA", at positions 110 to 339 of the family's 1533-position model. The record is from RNAcentral.